RNAcentral lists this ribosomal RNA (2987 nucleotides) under Salmonella enterica. Its description in RNAcentral is "bacterial LSU rRNA". It matches the Rfam family "Bacterial large subunit ribosomal RNA". Lineage: Bacteria; Pseudomonadati; Pseudomonadota; Gammaproteobacteria; Enterobacterales; Enterobacteriaceae. The record is from RNAcentral.
UUAAGCGACUAAGCGUACACGGUGGAUGCCCUGGCAGUCAGAGGCGAUGAAGGACGUGCUAAUCUGCGAUAAGCGCCGGUAAGGUGAUAUGAACCGUUAUAACCGGCGAUUUCCGAAUGGGGAAACCCAGUGUGAUUCGUCACACUAUCAUUAACUGAAUCCAUAGGUUAAUGAGGCGAACCGGGGGAACUGAAACAUCUAAGUACCCCGAGGAAAAGAAAUCAACCGAGAUUCCCCCAGUAGCGGCGAGCGAACGGGGAGGAGCCCAGAGCCUGAAUCAGCAUGUGUGUUAGUGGAAGCGUCUGGAAAGGCGCGCGAUACAGGGUGACAGCCCCGUACACAAAAGCGCAUGUGCUGUGAGCUCGAUGAGUAGGGCGGGACACGUGGUAUCCUGUCUGAAUAUGGGGGGACCAUCCUCCAAGGCUAAAUACUCCUGACUGACCGAUAGUGAACCAGUACCGUGAGGGAAAGGCGAAAAGAACCCCGGCGAGGGGAGUGAAAAAGAACCUGAAACCGUGUACGUACAAGCAGUGGGAGCACAGGUUUACCUGUGUGACUGCGUACCUUUUGUAUAAUGGGUCAGCGACUUAUAUUCUGUAGCAAGGUUAACCGAAUAGGGGAGCCGGAGGGAAACCGAGUCUUAAUUGGGCGUUAAGUUGCAGGGUAUAGACCCGAAACCCGGUGAUCUAGCCAUGGGCAGGUUGAAGGUUGGGUAACACUAACUGGAGGACCGAACCGACUAAUGUUGAAAAAUUAGCGGAUGACCUGUGGCUGGGGGUGAAAGGCCAAUCAAACCGGGAGAUAGCUGGUUCUCCCCGAAAGCUAUUUAGGUAGCGCCUCGUGAAUUCAUCUCCGGGGGUAGAGCACUGUUUCGGCUAGGGGGCCAUCCCGGCUUACCAACCCGAUGCAAACUGCGAAUACCGGAGAAUGUUAUCACGGGAGACACACGGCGGGUGCUAACGUCCGUCGUGAAGAGGGAAACAACCCAGACCGCCAGCUAAGGUCCCAAAGUCAUGGUUAAGUGGGAAACGAUGUGGGAAGGCCCAGACAGCCAGGAUGUUGGCUUAGAAGCAGCCAUCAUUUAAAGAAAGCGUAAUAGCUCACUGGUCGAGUCGGCCUGCGCGGAAGAUGUAACGGGGCUAAACCAUGCACCGAAGCUGCGGCAGCGAACGUAUCACUUAAAGCGAUUCAGCGGGUUACGAUUGACGGAGCGAAGCGACGUCAAAGCGUAUAUAAAGUCGAGUUGGCUUAGGGAUACGUUCGUUGGGUAGGGGAGCGUUCUGUAAGCCUGUGAAGGUGGCCUGUGAGGGUUGCUGGAGGUAUCAGAAGUGCGAAUGCUGACAUAAGUAACGAUAAAGCGGGUGAAAAGCCCGCUCGCCGGAAGACCAAGGGUUCCUGUCCAACGUUAAUCGGGGCAGGGUGAGUCGACCCCUAAGGCGAGGCCGAAAGGCGUAGUCGAUGGGAAACGGGUUAAUAUUCCCGUACUUGGUGUUACUGCGAAGGGGGGACGGAGAAGGCUAUGUUGGCCGGGCGACGGUUGUCCCGGUUUAAGCGUGUAGGUGUGUGUUCCAGGUAAAUCCGGUUCACUUUAACACUGAGGCGUGAUGACGAGGCACUACGGUGCUGAAGCAACAAAUGCCCUGCUUCCAGGAAAAGCCUCUAAGCAUCAGGUAACAUCAAAUCGUACCCCAAACCGACACAGGUGGUCAGGUAGAGAAUACCAAGGCGCUUGAGAGAACUCGGGUGAAGGAACUAGGCAAAAUGGUGCCGUAACUUCGGGAGAAGGCACGCUGACACGUAGGUGAAGUGAUUUACUCAUGGAGCUGAAGUCAGUCGAAGAUACCAGCUGGCUGCAACUGUUUAUUAAAAACACAGCACUGUGCAAACACGAAAGUGGACGUAUACGGUGUGACGCCUGCCCGGUGCCGGAAGGUUAAUUGAUGGGGUCAGCGCAAGCGAAGCUCCUGAUCGAAGCCCCGGUAAACGGCGGCCGUAACUAUAACGGUCCUAAGGUAGCGAAAUUCCUUGUCGGGUAAGUUCCGACCUGCACGAAUGGCGUAAUGAUGGCCAGGCUGUCUCCACCCGAGACUCAGUGAAAUUGAACUCGCUGUGAAGAUGCAGUGUACCCGCGGCAAGACGGAAAGACCCCGUGAACCUUUACUAUAGCUUGACACUGAACAUUGAGCCUUGAUGUGUAGGAUAGGUGGGAGGCUUUGAAGUGUGGACGCCAGUCUGCAUGGAGCCAACCUUGAAAUACCACCCUUUAAUGUUUGAUGUUCUAACGUGGACCCGUAAUCCGGGUUGCGGACAGUGUCUGGUGGGUAGUUUGACUGGGGCGGUCUCCUCCUAAAGAGUAACGGAGGAGCACGAAGGUUGGCUAAUCCUGGUCGGACAUCAGGAGGUUAGUGCAAUGGCAUAAGCCAGCUUGACUGCGAGCGUGACGGCGCGAGCAGGUGCGAAAGCAGGUCAUAGUGAUCCGGUGGUUCUGAAUGGAAGGGCCAUCGCUCAACGGAUAAAAGGUACUCCGGGGAUAACAGGCUGAUACCGCCCAAGAGUUCAUAUCGACGGCGGUGUUUGGCACCUCGAUGUCGGCUCAUCACAUCCUGGGGCUGAAGUAGGUCCCAAGGGUAUGGCUGUUCGCCAUUUAAAGUGGUACGCGAGCUGGGUUUAGAACGUCGUGAGACAGUUCGGUCCCUAUCUGCCGUGGGCGCUGGAGAACUGAGGGGGGCUGCUCCUAGUACGAGAGGACCGGAGUGGACGCAUCACUGGUGUUCGGGUUGUCAUGCCAAUGGCACUGCCCGGUAGCUAAAUGCGGAAGAGAUAAGUGCUGAAAGCAUCUAAGCACGAAACUUGCCCCGAGAUGAGUUCUCCCUGAGACUUAGAGUCUCCUGAAGGAACGUUGAAGACGACGACGUUGAUAGGCCGGGUGUGUAAGCGCAGCGAUGCGUUGAGCUAACCGGUACUAAUGAACCGUGAGGCUUAACCUU